AUCACAGAUGAUGAGCUAAUGUCAAUUUGCAAUCUUGCUACUGCUAAUGUCGGGUCUAUAGUCAGGUUGAUGCGAGCAAACACACAGAUGGGGUGUGGUUGGUUUGUUGAUUGUGGCAAUGUUGAUGCUGCAAGCACUGUCCUGACAAAUCUUCGAAGUUGUCCUGGAAUGUUCUUGCAGGUUGAAUUCAGUCAACCAGGAAAGAACUAUACUGUGCCAUUCCCUAUAAAGUCUGACGGCAGCUCUAUGGAGCUUGUAUCGCCCCGAAUAAAACCAGAGAAUCAUGGGUCUACAGUACAAGCUGUACGUUCAUUUGGGGGGGUGGACCCUUUGCAAG
RNAcentral lists this unclassified non-coding RNA (337 nucleotides) under Hevea brasiliensis (rubber tree). Lineage: Eukaryota; Viridiplantae; Streptophyta; Magnoliopsida; Malpighiales; Euphorbiaceae. The record is from RNAcentral.